GAAGGCAGAAACCAAGAACCACUAAGGACC
RNAcentral lists this non-coding RNA (30 nucleotides) under Homo sapiens (human). The record is from RNAcentral. Lineage: Eukaryota; Metazoa; Chordata; Mammalia; Primates; Hominidae.